This 301-nucleotide ribosomal RNA is filed under the name uncultured bacterium. Its description in RNAcentral is "partial 16S ribosomal RNA". It matches the Rfam family "Bacterial small subunit ribosomal RNA", at positions 509 to 807 of the family's 1533-position model. The record is from RNAcentral.
CAGUAGCCGCGGUAAUACGAAGGGUGCAAGCGUUACUCGGAAUUACUGGGCGUAAAGCGUGCGUAGGUGGUGGUUUAAGUCCGUUGUGAAAGCCCUGGGCUCAACCUGGGAAUUGCAGUGGAUACUGGGUCACUAGAGUGUGGUAGAGGAUAGUGGAAUUUCCGGUGUAGCAGUGAAAUGCGUAGAGAUCUGGAGGAAUACCGGUGGCGAAGGCGGCCCCCUGGACGAAGACUGACGCUCAGGUACGAAAGCGUGGGGAGCAAACAGGAUUAGAUACCCCCGUAGUCCCUGUCUCUUAUAC